This is a long non-coding RNA of Triticum dicoccoides, 1765 nucleotides long. RefSeq lists it as uncharacterized. The record is from RefSeq and is a predicted model, not a curated record. The transcript has 6 exons. NCBI's taxonomy places the organism in Eukaryota, Viridiplantae, Streptophyta, Magnoliopsida, Poales, Poaceae.
AGAAAGGCGAGCGCAACAUCUCUGAUGGUCUUUUUAAUUCUUUUGGCUAUCCUAUUUUGUUUAUUUGUUGCUGUGUGUACCUUACUUAACUAGAUGAUUUUGGUCUUGAUCUUGUGAUGGAGCUGAUUGCUGUAACUAUACCCCAUGUUCCAAUUUUGGCUAGUAAGAUGGUUGUAAUCAUUUCACCUGUUUCACCCUUAUUUUCAAUGUUAAUCUAUAUUGGGUUCUGCACUUCUUUUCUUAGAAAGUUCACUGUAUCACCCUUAUUAUCUGUGUUAAUCUAUAUUUGGUUCUGCACUUCUUUUCUUAGAAAGUUCUACUGUAUCACCCUUGUUUACAUUGCUUUCAUCAUUAGCUGAUGCACACUAUUUCUUUCUGUCAGAUGGAACCUGCCCUUGUGGAUGAAAAACUAAUUCCUUGGGAGUUAAACAAGUUUAAGUUGAAUCCAUUACGUAAUGGUGGUGUCAUUGCUUAUUAUCAAAUCAAUAAGCCUUCAGAUCUCACUGCAACUGCUCAGUUAGCACCAAAGGAUAGGCCUCUAGUCUGUCUGCAUCUGAAAGAGUCAGAAAAUUUGCCUAAGAUAUCAAUUAUGAAUCUGAGGCAUCGGAAUAUUUUAUGAGUUGACGCUGUACAAAAAUUGGAACUGCCGUUCUCGAACCAGAAAAACAUUGCUGUUGUUGUGGAGCCUCAUGAUGGACCUCUCACUUGGUUUUUAGUCAGAUUGCUUCUGACCGAGAAGGGCAGUAAUGCCGUCCCAUCACAGUCUCUUAGAGAUGUUAUAAGACAAAUUGUGGAGGCUAUUGAAGAGCUCAGAAUAAAUGGAGUCUAUCAUGGCAAUCUUACAAUACAUAAUAUAUACCAUUCAAGAGUUGGUGGUGCUAUUGUAGUGAAGUUGGUUAAUUUUCAAAACAGAGAUAUCGAAUUGGAGGCUGCACAGUUAAUGGACUGGGUUGGGCUUGGUAAUAUUCUUCAUACUAUUUCAACUGCAGCAAAGUUCAGGGAUAAUACUGCCUCGUGCUCCAUAAUUGACCAUCUGGCAUCAAAAUUGAUGGCAUUAACAAGCAUUAACUGUCUUCCGAGUAUAAAAAAGGGUACACUAGAUGAUAUGUUACAAGGGUGAAGAACCACGCGUGGCCACUACCAUGGGACAGUAAGCAUUUUGGACUCGUAAAGGCCAUGAACGACUACCGUGAAGAAGUUGCGGUAAGAGAUAAACACAAGGGAGUUAAUCCAGGUCCAGAAGUUCUGAAACAGUAUCAUUACAAUGGACAAGAUCCAAUUCACAAUGUACAGUGUAUGAGCGGAGCUUACACUCACCAGGACAAAAUAGAGAAGGACAUUAAAGAUGAUAAAGACAAGCGAAUGUCGGUGGAUGUGGCUGUCCAGAAGGAGCAGCCAGAGUUGUGUCUUGCCCUACGUAGGUUGCUCGCAGGGGAAGCCUUCUAGAAGAAGGCAAUGAAGAAUGUUUUCACCUUUGUGGUGUGAAAGCGAGGUCGGUUAUGCUUAUGCUUCUUGUGGCAAUAAUUUCAAUACCUAGGAACAAUUUUCUGCAAGGCUGAAUAUUAACACGAUUUUGAUAUAAUGUGUUGUACACCUAUCUCAUUCGUGUUCUGUUUUUUGACAUAAUGUGCUGUAGAGUACACCUGUCUCGCCUUCUAACUGCAAGGCCAGGUUGGGGAUGUGGGUUUGGUGCCUUCUGUAGUAUUUGAUAUUGCUUCUUGUGAUGGCAUCUCCUUUUUUAUGGUUUUUUUUGCUUGUGUGGUAC